CCAGCAGCUGCGGUAAUUCCAGCUCCAAUAGCGUAUAUUAAAGUUGUUGCAGUUAAAAAGCUCGUAGUUGGAUUUCUGGUGGGAGCGGCAGGUCGGGCUCGCAAGGGCCAUGUACUAUAGUCUGUCUCCUGCCAUCCUUGGGGAGAGCGAUUCUGGCAUUAAGUUGUCGGGGUCGGGAUCCUCAUCUUUUACUGUGAAAAAAUUAGAGUGUUCAAAGCAGGCCUCGGCCUCUGAAUACAUUAGCAUGGAAUAAUAAGAUAGGACUUUGGUGGUCUAUUUUGUUGGUUUGCACGCCAAAGUAAUGAUUAAUAGGGAUAGUUGGGGGUAUUCGUAUUCAAUUGUCAGAGGUGAAAUUCUUGGAUUUAUGGAAGACGAACUACUGCGAAAGCAUUUACCAAGGAUGUUUUCAUUAAUCAAGAACGAAAGU
RNAcentral lists this ribosomal RNA (427 nucleotides) under uncultured eukaryote. RNAcentral's name for it is "SSU rRNA". It matches the Rfam family "Eukaryotic small subunit ribosomal RNA", at positions 567 to 990 of the family's 1831-position model. The record is from RNAcentral.